RNAcentral lists this ribosomal RNA (113 nucleotides) under uncultured bacterium. RNAcentral describes it as "partial 16S ribosomal RNA". It matches the Rfam family "Bacterial small subunit ribosomal RNA", at positions 345 to 457 of the family's 1533-position model. The record is from RNAcentral.
CGAUUAGCAGUGGGGAAUUUUCCGCAAUGGGCGAAAGCCUGACGGAGCAAUACCGCGUGAGGGAUGACGGCCCUUGGGUUGUAAACCUCUUUUAUCAAGGAGGAAGUUCUGAC